Long non-coding RNA from Oxyura jamaicensis (ruddy duck), 1170 nucleotides. RefSeq lists it as uncharacterized. The record is from RefSeq and is a predicted model, not a curated record. The transcript has 2 exons. Lineage: Eukaryota; Metazoa; Chordata; Aves; Anseriformes; Anatidae.
UCCUCCAUGUCCCAAACAAGGCUGCAGCACCUGAUACAGCCUGGUAUUUUUAACAACAUACAGCUAGUAACUUACGAAGUUUACAGAUUCCACCAUGAAAUACUUGAGUUCAGAAGAAAUUGCAAGUUGUACAGCCAUCAGUGUCAAGCAUCGUUAAAGGCGGGGAUGAUCCACCCACACCAGCGGCCCCACUGCAAGAGGAGGGACUGGGAGCGCUGCUGCUGAGGUUGGCAAGUCUGAGUCCUGCAGAGAAAGAGAAUGUGGAAAUCCCGCUGAGACUGCCCUGCCUCCAGCUAUACAAAUUGAGACAGUGAUUCACCUGCUCGCUUCCAGCACGGUGGUCCCUAGAGGAGGAGAUACAUCUCUAGGACCUGAGCCAUAAAGAAGAGGGAUUUAUAGAUCAGUAUCAGCAGACAUGAGUAAUACCUGGAAGCAAAACUCUCUGCGCUGUGAUUCUACUGCAUGCACAGGCUGUGAGCAGAGCUAAAGCAUUGUUUUGCUUUGAUUAGAGUGGAGGAUAGGAGUGGGGACUCUGAGCUGCAUUCAUCUCCGGGCCACUGACUUGCUAGGGAUUUUGGAUAAGUCAUUUAAUCUCCAUCUUAGUUUCCUCAUCUGUAAAGCCUGGGGAAUAAAAUUUUUGCUUUUUGGCUGGAGCUCAGGCUGAAAGGAAAUGUAACUAAAAGAAUACUGUUCCAUGCUCAGACUUUAACAGAUUUGCUUGUGCCCUGAAGUUGUGCGAGUGGAUGGAAGGGAGGGCUCUGGGAUGCUAACGGCACUGCCCCUGCUGCUGCUGUGCUGUGCCUCUGCCACUGCUGUGGUUCUUGUCCUUUGUCUAUGCCUCACCUUGAGCAUCCCCAGGGACAGCUGCAGUCCUUGCUGUGUCCCCGCUUAUGUAAGGAGGCAAUGCUGUGCUUGCAGGCGUGCCCAAGCUCUGUGUUGUGGCACUCGCAGAGCUAUACAGCCAAACCAUGCCGUUACAGCUCUUCAUGGGGCAUAUGGCAUUUCAACUAGCAGUGAUGUUUUUAUUUCCAAUUUAUUUAAAUUAAUUAUUGACAUUAGCUUUUCUUAAGUGUACAUACACUAUACUGUACUGCUGAAUUACAGUUUGUGCUAGGACCAGGAAAGUGACCUAACUGGUUACAGAACAUAAGGCCCUAUGCAGUGAAUGUG